AUGCCUUACACAUGCAAGUCGGACGGCAGCACGGGGGCAACCCUGGUGGCGAGUGGCGAACGGGUGAGUAAUACAUCGGAACGUGUCCUGGAGUGGGGGAUAGCCCGGCGAAAGCCGGAUUAAUACCGCAUACGCUCUGUGGAGGAAAGCGGGGGAUCUUCGGACCUCGCGCUCAAGGGGCGGCCGAUGGCAGAUUAGCUAGUUGGUGGGGUAAAGGCCUACCAAGGCGACGAUCUGUAGCUGGUCUGAGAGGACGACCAGCCACACUGGGACUGAGACACGGCCCAG
This 288-nucleotide ribosomal RNA is filed under the name uncultured bacterium. RNAcentral describes it as "partial 16S ribosomal RNA". It matches the Rfam family "Bacterial small subunit ribosomal RNA", at positions 45 to 334 of the family's 1533-position model. The record is from RNAcentral.